This 500-nucleotide ribosomal RNA is filed under the name uncultured bacterium. Its description in RNAcentral is "partial 16S ribosomal RNA". It matches the Rfam family "Bacterial small subunit ribosomal RNA", at positions 30 to 523 of the family's 1533-position model. The record is from RNAcentral.
AUUGAACGCUGGCGGAAUGCUUUACACAUGCAAGUCGAACGGCAGCACGGACUUCGGUCUGGUGGCGAGUGGCGAACGGGUGAGUAAUGUAUCGGAACGUGCCCAGUCGUGGGGGAUAACGUAGUGAAAAUUACGCUAAUACCGCAUACGAUCUAUGGAUGAAAGCGGGGGAUCGCAAGACCUCGCGCGAUUGGAUCGGCCGAUAUCAGAUUAGGUAGUUGGUGGGGUAAAGGCCCACCAAGCCAACGAUCUGUAGCUGGUCUGAGAGGACGACCAGCGACACUGGAACGGAGACACGGUCCAGAAUCCUACGUGAGGCAGCAGUGGGGAAUGUUGGACAAUGGGCGAAAGCCUGAUCCAGCCAUUCCGCGUGCAGGAUGAAGGCCCUCGGGUUGUAAACUGCUUUUGUACAGAACGAAAAGGUUUCUACUAAUACUAGGAGCUCAUGACGGUACUGUAAGAAUAAGCACCGGCUAACUACGUGCCAGCCGCCGCCGUAA